GUAGGGGGCAAGCGUUAUCCGGAUUCACUGGGCGUAAAGGGAGCGCAGGCGGCACGGCAAGUCUGGUGUGAAAACCCGGGGCUCAACCCCGGGACUGCAUUGGAAACUGUCGGACUAGAGUGCCGGAGAGGUAAGUGGAAUUCCUAGUGUAGCGGUGAAAUGCGUAGAUAUUAGGAGGAACACCAGUGGCGAAGGCGGCUUACUGGACGGUAACUGACGCUGAGGCUCGAAAGCGUGGGGAGCAA
This 245-nucleotide ribosomal RNA is filed under the name uncultured bacterium. Its description in RNAcentral is "partial 16S ribosomal RNA". It matches the Rfam family "Bacterial small subunit ribosomal RNA", at positions 527 to 771 of the family's 1533-position model. The record is from RNAcentral.